Molecule: long non-coding RNA, 489 nt
Organism: Thalassophryne amazonica
Lineage: Eukaryota; Metazoa; Chordata; Actinopteri; Batrachoidiformes; Batrachoididae
Exons: 3
Source: RefSeq, a predicted model, not a curated record
GUCUGUGUUGCCGCCCUUGGGCACAGAGUAGUUAGUGCUGAAGAUUUCAGUCACUGGAUAGGCUGGUCUUAACUGGAGUUUUCUUAGUUAGGUCUGCCUAGUUUAAGGAACCCUGUCCUUGGUCUGGAGAAGUGAGCCCAAUAAAGUAUCAGUGUGGCUGUCGUCUGCCUUUCAGUGUUGUUCUCUAGCAAGCUGCCGCCACCACCAUGGCAUUUUCAUAUAAGAAGGACUUGAACAAAUACAAGGAGAUUGAUGAAGAUGAGAUCCUCAACAAACUAUCUGAAGAGGAACUCAGGCAGCUGGAAACAGCCCUUGAGGAGAUGGACCCUGAGAAUGCACUACUUCCAGCGGCCUGCGUCAAAAGGACCAAACAGGGAAGAAAGCGACAGAGCCGUUUGACAGGGAACGCCUCCUCAAAUACCUGGAGAAGGAAGCUAUGGAGUACAAGGACAGGGAUGAUAUAGUGCCGUUUACUGGGGAGAAAAAAGG